GACGAACGCUGGCGGCGUGCUUAACACAUGCAAGUCGAACGGAAAGGCCCUGCUUUUGUGGGGUGCUCGAGUGGCGAACGGGUGAGUAACACGUGAGUAACCUGCCCUUGACUUUGGGAUAACUUCAGGAAACUGGGGCUAAUACCGGAUAGGAGCUCCUGCUGCAUGGUGGGGGUUGGAAAGUUUCGGCGGUUGGGAUGGACUCGCGGCUUAUCAGCUUGUUGGUGGGGUAGUGGCUUACCAAGGCUUUGACGGGUAGCCGGCCUGAGAGGGUGACCGGCCACAUUGGGACUGAGAUACGGCACAGACUCCUACGGGAGGCAGCAGUGGGGAAUAUUGCACAAUGGGCGGAAGCCUGAUGCAGCAACGCCGCGUGCGGGAUGACGGCCUUCGGGUUGUAAACCGCUUUCGCCUGUGACGAAGCGUGAGUGACGGUAAUGGGUAAAGAAGCACCGGCUAACUACGUG
RNAcentral lists this ribosomal RNA (467 nucleotides) under uncultured bacterium. RNAcentral's name for it is "partial 16S ribosomal RNA". It matches the Rfam family "Bacterial small subunit ribosomal RNA", at positions 28 to 507 of the family's 1533-position model. The record is from RNAcentral.